AGCCAUAUGGCCGAGUGGUUAAGGCGGGAGACUUAAGAUCUCCUCCCGUAUGGGAUCGUGGGUUCGAACCCCACUGUGGCUA
Coemansia reversa NRRL 1564 is the source of this 82-nucleotide non-coding RNA. Lineage: Eukaryota; Fungi; Kickxellomycota; Kickxellomycetes; Kickxellales; Kickxellaceae. The record is from the annotation of a GenBank genome assembly.